GACGAACGCUGGCGGCGUGCUUAACACAUGCAAGUCGAACGGAAAGGCCUCUUUCGGGGGGUACUCGAGUGGCGAACGGGUGAGUAACACGUGAGUAACCUGCCCUUGACUUUGGGAUAACUUCAGGAAACUGGGGCUAAUACCGGAUAGGAGCUCCUGCUGCAUGGUGGGGGUUGGAAAGUUUCGGCGGUUGGGGAUGGACUCGCGGCUUAUCAGCUUGUUGGUGGGGUAGUGGCUUACCAAGGCUUUGACGGGUAGCCGGCCUGAGAGGGUGACCGGCCACAUUGGGACUGAGAUACGGCCCAGAUUCCGACGGGAGGCAGCAGUGGGGAAUAUUGCUCAAUGGGUGGAAGCCUGAUGCAGCAACGCCGUGUGCGGGAUGACGGCCUUCGGGUUGUAAACCGCUUUCGCUCAUGACGAAGCUUUGUGUGACGGUAGUGGGUAAAGAAGCACCGGCUAACUACGUG
Molecule: ribosomal RNA, 467 nt
Filed under: uncultured bacterium
Lineage: Bacteria
Description: partial 16S ribosomal RNA
Rfam family: Bacterial small subunit ribosomal RNA
Source: RNAcentral